AAAAUUAAAAGGACGCGGUAACCUUGACCGUGAUAAUGUAGCAUAAUCAUUCGCCAUUUAAUUGAUGGAUAGUAUGAAUGGUUGAACGAAUAUUUCACUGUCUUAAAAAGAAACACCAAAAAAUUAGAAUAAUAGUAAAGAUACUAUUUUAGAUUGUAAGACGAAAAGACCCUAUAGAGCUUAACUAUAAUCUCUAUGUAAAAAAAAGAAAAUAUUUCUGCUAAUAAAGAGAUUGGUAGUUUAGUUGGGGCGACUAUCUUUUAAAAAAAACAAAGAUAAGCAAAGUAAAUAUAAAACUUAUUGUAUAAUUAAUUUAUUUAACAAUUAUAAAAAUAGGCUAUAAUGACCCGUUAUAUUUUAAUAAAAGAAAUAACGAUCAAUAAAUAAAAGCUACCUUAGGGAUAACAGGAUAAUUUUAUUUUAGAGAUCUAAUCGAAAAUAAAGUUUGUCACCUCUAUGUUGAAUUAAGA
This 470-nucleotide ribosomal RNA is filed under the name Thuiaria cf. articulata CM-2011. Its description in RNAcentral is "partial 16S ribosomal RNA". It matches the Rfam family "Bacterial large subunit ribosomal RNA", at positions 1919 to 2542 of the family's 2925-position model. The record is from RNAcentral. Lineage: Eukaryota; Metazoa; Cnidaria; Hydrozoa; Leptothecata; Sertulariidae.